RNAcentral lists this unclassified non-coding RNA (727 nucleotides) under Hevea brasiliensis (rubber tree). The record is from RNAcentral. Lineage: Eukaryota; Viridiplantae; Streptophyta; Magnoliopsida; Malpighiales; Euphorbiaceae.
UUUGAGAAUGACAAUGUUUUGAUACCUAAGGAAACCUCUUGGUUUGGUUAUUAUCCAGAUGGAUCUUUUAAGACAGUUUUGACUGCUGAACAGACAAAGCUUUACUCUGAGGAUUGGAUUGGUCUCAAGGCCUUAGAUGAGGCUGGAAGAGUUCAUUUUGUAAAUGUGUCAGGGGGCCAUCUCGGAAUAUCCGAAAGUGACAUGAAAAAGCAUGUUGUGCCUUACUUGGUGGAUCAACAAUCGGUAAGGAGGGUUAGCAAAGCUGGGUUGCAGGGACUUCCCCGUAGAAUCACGCCAAACAAAAAGAGAGAACAAGAUGUGGAAGGAUUCAGCGGCACAAAAUCAUCUGAAGAGAUACUACAUGGAUCAUCAUCAUAUCAGUGGCCCUCAUCAGUGACAGGUUUUUUCAUGGAGCUUGUUGGGCUCGCAGUGACAGAGGAGAAUGCUCCCGAUAAAUUGUGAAUUGGAACAUCAGCUGCUUCAGUAAUUUCCGCUGGGUGGAAUCAAUAAGUAUAGUAAUCCCGUAUUCUUCUGUGCUUUAUACUUGCCAUUGCUUAUCAAAACCUCUGGCUGUCACUUAUGGCUAUUGUUGAAAUCGAACUCAACUCUACAGGAAAAGCUAUAAGGAUUAGUAUCGUGGAUUACCACAAUGAUUCAUUAUUUAUNAUUUUUCAACCGCACAAACUGGGCUAUGCGCGACUGAUUAGCAUCCAACGAUGUCAGAAAG